Molecule: ribosomal RNA, 326 nt
Filed under: uncultured eukaryote
Lineage: Eukaryota
Description: partial 18S ribosomal RNA
Rfam family: Eukaryotic small subunit ribosomal RNA
Source: RNAcentral
CCCUUAGAUGUUCUGGGCUGCACGCGCGCUACACUGAUGCACUCAACGAGUUUACGACCUUGCCCGAUAGGGUUGGGUAAUCUUUUUAAAAUGCAUCGUGAUGGGGAUAGAUUAUUGCAAUUAUUAAUCUUCAACGUGGAAUUCCUAGUAAGCGCGAGUCAUCAGCUCGUGCUGAUUACGUCCCUGCCCUUUGUACACACCGCCCGUCGCUCCUACCGAUUGAGUGCUCAGGUGAAUAAUUCGGACUGCAGCAAUGUUUGGAUCCCGAACGUUGCAGCGGAAAGUUUAGUGAACCUUAUCACUUAGAGGAAGGAGAAGUCGUAACA